CCUACGGGAGGCAGCAGUGGGGAAUAUUGCACCAUGGGGGAAACCCUGAUGCAGCGACGCCGCGUGAAUGAUGAAGGUCUUCGGAUUGUAAAGUUCUUUUCUAAGGGAAGAAGAAAGUGACGGUACCUUAGGAAUAAGCCUCGGCUAACUACGUGCCAGCAGCCGCGGUAAUACGUAGGAGGCAAGCGUUAUCCGGAAUGACUGGGCGUAAAGGGUGCGUAGGUGGUUUGAUAAGUUGGUAGCGUAACUCCGAGGCUCAACCUCGGCACUACUACCAAAACUGUCGGACUUGAGUGCAGGAGGGACAACUGGAAUUCCUAGUGUAGCGGUGGAAUGCGUAGAUAUUAGGAGGAACACCAGUGGCGAAGGCGAGUUGCUGGACUGUAACUGACACUGAGGCACGAAAGCGUGGGGAGCAAACAGGAUUAGAUACCCUAGUAGUC
RNAcentral lists this ribosomal RNA (443 nucleotides) under uncultured bacterium. RNAcentral's name for it is "partial 16S ribosomal RNA". It matches the Rfam family "Bacterial small subunit ribosomal RNA", at positions 338 to 795 of the family's 1533-position model. The record is from RNAcentral.